Molecule: long non-coding RNA, 278 nt
Organism: Anguilla anguilla (European eel)
Lineage: Eukaryota; Metazoa; Chordata; Actinopteri; Anguilliformes; Anguillidae
Exons: 2
Source: RefSeq, a predicted model, not a curated record
CAACAACAGCCGCUUUUUCUUGGGCAAUGGAAGGGCUGAUAUACUGUUACGUCACAACGCUUCAAAGUUGUCGAAUUAUUUAUUGUGGGGUUGAGCCUGUUGCGUCACCGUGGCGGUGAACGCACCCUAUAUAAUGAGAGCCACCAAAACCGUUUUAGCAGAAUGGACGGAGCGAGGCAGGCGGGCUGGCGGUAGUGUCUUCGGAUAAAGACAAGACGGAUACUCCAGAAAAGCUGCUGGUUUGCAAUGAAGAAGGCACUUUCUCGUUAAUAUUCCGG